RNAcentral lists this small nucleolar RNA (77 nucleotides) under Pelusios castaneus (West African mud turtle). RNAcentral's name for it is "Small nucleolar RNA SNORD66 (ENSPCEG00000004431.1)". It matches the Rfam family "Small nucleolar RNA SNORD66". From Rfam's summary of the family: snoRNA HBII-142 is part of the C/D family of snoRNAs. It is the human orthologue of the mouse MBII-142 snoRNA and is predicted to guide 2'O-ribose methylation of small 18S rRNA at residue C1272. Lineage: Eukaryota; Metazoa; Chordata; Testudines; Pelomedusidae. The record is from Rfam by way of RNAcentral.
UGCCUCUCAUGAUGAACUCUUAGUGCCAUCGUGUCUGGGCCACUGAUGCACCGUGAUGGAACUGAGGAUCUGAGUUG